Molecule: ribosomal RNA, 439 nt
Filed under: uncultured bacterium
Lineage: Bacteria
Description: partial 16S ribosomal RNA
Rfam family: Bacterial small subunit ribosomal RNA
Source: RNAcentral
CUACGGGCGGCUCCAGUGAGGAAUAUUGCACAAUGGGGGGAACCCUGAUGCAGCAACGCCGCGUGGAGGAUGACGCAUUUCGGUGUGUAAACUCCUUUUAUAUGUCAAGAAAAUGACGGUAGCAUAUGAAUAAGCACCGGCUAACUCCGUGCCAGCAGCCGCGGUAAUACGGAGGGUGCAAGCGUUACUCGGAAUCACUGGGCGUAAAGGACGCGUAGGCGGGUUGGAAAGUCAGGUGCGAAAUCCUACAGCUUAACUGUAGAACUGCACUUGAAACUUCUAAUCUAGAGUAUGGGAGGGGGAGAUGGAGUUAGUGGUGUAGGGGUAAAAUCCGUAGAUAUCACUAGGAAUACCUAAAGCGAAGGCGAUCUCCUGGAACAUUACUGACGCUAAGGCGUGAAAGCGUGGGGAGCAAACAGGAUUAGAUACCCCUGUAGUC